Salvia hispanica is the source of this 1239-nucleotide long non-coding RNA. RefSeq lists it as uncharacterized. The record is from RefSeq and is a predicted model, not a curated record. NCBI's taxonomy places the organism in Eukaryota, Viridiplantae, Streptophyta, Magnoliopsida, Lamiales, Lamiaceae.
CAGCACUAAAGAGAAACUGUGCAUCAACUCUCUCUACCAAAAGCAAAAGAUAAAUGGAUCCACAUCACGAUUUAUACUUUACCGGAAUGACUUUUUGUCACUUAACUUCGUUUGAUACUCGGGUGUUGGAAGUGCGAGAUCAAGGCAAUAUAGCUACUGGUGGUAUAGCUAUUGCUAUCGUCGACAUUAUUUAUUUCUUAUCCAAGUUGAAAUAUGGGUGGGCUGAAAAUAUAGUCGAACUACAAGACGUAUAUCGAAAACAUGUUGUCGAUAGACCCCAACAAUGUUGAAGCUAUUCAACAAAAACCACCACUUAUGGUCACAGUUGAACUAUAUCCGAGUUUUAGGCGCUUUGCCGGACAUCAACAUAGUGGGCCUCCAUCGAGAAUAUAUCAAGGGGAACACAAUCUGGGAUGCCGAGUAUAGGUCACGUUGUCUUGGUAGUUGGGUAUUCUAGUGGCGGACAUACGGAGGGGCUUGGGGGUCCAAUGGAACCCCAAACAAUUUUGAAAGUUCCUAUAUAUUACAUAUUUAUACUGUACUUACCAAAAUUUGACAUAGCCCAGUUGGUUAAUAAGUUGCUCUUUUAUCCCAGAGAUCUGGGGUUUAAUUCCCAGCGCCGAAAAUAGUUCCAUUUUGUUAUGUUUUUCAGCUUUCUCAUUUCUCUAUGUUUGGAUAUUCAGUUAUGUUUUUCAAUUUUCUCAUUUCUUUAUGUUUGCUUUUAGUAGAUUUUCAAUUUUGUAUUUUAAUUUUCACGUACUAAACACACUAUUCUUAAUCUCCGUGUCCAAAACAAGUGUCCCAAUUAGCAAGGAACAGAGAUAUUAUACUAUAGUAGUAAAUUUAAUUUUAAAGUUAUAUUUUUAUUUAAAAAAAAUAUUCUUCAAUAUUAUUUAGCCUCAUAAAAAUAUAGCAUGUAUUAUAUUGUUCGUAUUGGGAUUGUUUCUGUCUAUAUUGACACCAAAAAUAUGUAACAAUUGUUACAGUAGUUUAGAACCCCCAGUAUAAAAAUCCUGCGUCCGCCAUUGGGUAUUUUUACGAGGCUGAGUUGGGACUAUAUUACUUGUUGAAAAACUCAUGGGGAAAAAAUGCAGGCUGUAUGGGUUAUGCAAAAGUUGUAAAAUCAUUUAUUACUAUCUUUCUGAUAUAUAUAUCAGAAACAAUUAAUCUAGUGCAUGACCCAAGAGCUGAAUUGUAAUGAAACUUUUUUAUGUUAUAUGCUAGGUUGGUGUACCUAUA